This 257-nucleotide unclassified non-coding RNA is filed under the name Hevea brasiliensis (rubber tree). Lineage: Eukaryota; Viridiplantae; Streptophyta; Magnoliopsida; Malpighiales; Euphorbiaceae. The record is from RNAcentral.
CAAGGAUAAAGCAAGCACAGGAGAUGGAAGAGACUUCUCUUUGCACUCCAAUCAAAAGAUCAGAAACUUCCCACAAAGACUGGCCUACCUGCAACAAAGCUGAGUUCUUCUCUAACUAACAGAAGAGACAGUCUGCUGUUCGAAAGGCUAAGGUAGAAAAACACUGUUAUUCCAAAUUAUCCUUUCUUUAACCAACCCUUAGAAUGAUAAAGCUUGCAUAUUUGAAAUAUCUCUUUUAUAUCUGAAAAGUUCUGGCC